RNAcentral lists this ribosomal RNA (394 nucleotides) under uncultured bacterium. RNAcentral describes it as "bacterial SSU rRNA". It matches the Rfam family "Bacterial small subunit ribosomal RNA", at positions 30 to 424 of the family's 1533-position model. The record is from RNAcentral.
AUUGAACGCUGGCGGCAUGCUUUACACAUGCAAGUCGAACGGCAGCACGGGUGCUUGCACCUGGUGGCGAGUGGCGGACGGGUGAGUAAUACAUCGGAACGUAUCCAGAAGAGGGGGAUAACGCAUCGAAAGAUGUGCUAAUACCGCAUAUUCUCUGAGGAGGAAAGCAGGGGGAUCGAAAGACCUUGCGCUUUGGGAGCGGCCGAUGUCUGAUUAGCUAGUUGGUGGGGUAAGGCCUACCAAGGCGGCGAUCAGUAGUUGGUCUGAGAGGACGACCAGCCACACUGGGACUGAGACACGGCCCAGACUCCUACGGGAGGCAGCAGUGGGGAAUUUUGGACAAUGGGCGCAAGCCUGAUCCAGCAAUGCCGCGUGAGUGAAGAAGGCCUCGGUU